GCCCCGGUGGCUUAGUGGUAGAGCGCUUCCUUGGUAAGGAAGAGGUCGCGAGUUCGAUUCUCGCCCGGGGCU
Molecule: transfer RNA, 72 nt
Filed under: Candidatus Woesearchaeota archaeon
Lineage: Archaea; Nanobdellati; Candidatus Woesearchaeota
Also listed under: 1 other name
Description: tRNA-Thr
Rfam family: tRNA
About the family: Transfer RNA (tRNA) molecules are approximately 80 nucleotides in length.
Source: RNAcentral